This 430-nucleotide ribosomal RNA is filed under the name Pseudomonadota bacterium. Its description in RNAcentral is "Proteobacteria bacterium partial 16S ribosomal RNA". It matches the Rfam family "Bacterial small subunit ribosomal RNA", at positions 355 to 776 of the family's 1533-position model. The record is from RNAcentral. Lineage: Bacteria; Pseudomonadati; Pseudomonadota.
UGGGGAAUAUUGGACAAUGGGGGGAACUCUGAUCCAGCCAUGCCGCGUGUGUGAAGAAGGCCUUAUGGUUGUAAAGCACUUUAAGCGAGGAGGAGGGUACUGGUAUUAAUACUACCAGGUACUGGACGUUACUCGCAGAAUAAGCACCGGCUAACUCUGUGCCAGCAGCCGCGGUAAUACAGAGGGUGCGAGCGUUAAUCGGAUUUACUGGGCGUAAAGCGUGCGUAGGCGGCUAAUUGAGUCUGAUGUGAAAUCCCCGGGCUUAAAUUGGGAAUUGCAUUCGAGACUGGUUAGCUAGAGUGUGGGAGAGGAUGGUAGAAUUCCAGGUGUAACGGUGAAAUGCGUAGAGAUAUGGGGGAAUACCGAUGGCGAAGGCAGCCAUCUGGCCUAACACUGACGCUGAGGUACGAAAGCAUGGGGAGCAAACAGG